Vigna angularis (adzuki bean) is the source of this 304-nucleotide non-coding RNA. It matches the Rfam family "Plant signal recognition particle RNA". The record is from Rfam. Lineage: Eukaryota; Viridiplantae; Streptophyta; Magnoliopsida; Fabales; Fabaceae.
GCCGAGCUGGGUAACGUCAGCUUGUGACCUGAGUGGGGGCUUUAAGGUGAUUGAACAAGGCUAUGGCUUGCUAAGCUGGUCUGGAAGCUGCAUCUUGCUGGCUUGCCCACUCCAAGUCAGGAGUUGAGCCAAGGGACCUUUGCGAAGGCAUAGGUUUCCUGGUUUCUAGACAGGAGGGCACAGCGUGAGGCUGGUUUCACAGAGCAGCGAUAACCUUCGGCUCUUGACAGUGGAGGGAUAACAGGCUGCUGCACUUCCAGCCCUAAUCGGGCUUGGUGAACCUUGCUCUUGAACAAUCAUUUUU